CGGUUGAUCCUGCCGGAGGCCACUGCUAUCGGAGUUUGAUUAAGCCAUGCGAGUCGAGAGGUGCAAGACCUCGGCAUACUGCUCAGUAACACGUGGACAACCUACCCUAUGGAGGGGGAUAACCCCGGGAAACUGGGGAUAAUACCCCAUAGAUUAUGGAAGCUGGAAUGCUCUGUAAUUGAAAGGUCCGCCGCCAUAGGAUGGGUCUGCGGCCGAUUAGGUUGUUGUUGGGGUAACGGCCCAACAAGCCUGUAAUCGGUACGGGUUGUGGGAGCAAGAGCCCGGAGAUGGAUUCUGAGACACGAAUCCAGGCCCUACGGGGCGCAGCAGGCGCGAAAACUUUACAAUGCGGGAAACCGUGAUAAGGGAACUCCGAGUGCCCGUAAAAUCGGGCUGUCCAUCUGUUUAAAUAACAGGUGAAGAAAGGGCCGGGCAAGACCGGUGCCAGCCGCCGCGGUAAUACCGGCGGCUCGAGUGGUGGCCACUAUUACUGGGCUUAAAGCGUUCGUAGCUGGUCUGUUAAGUCUCUGGGGAAAUCUACUGGCUUAACCAAUAGACGUUUCAGGGAUACUGGCAGACUAGGGACCGGGAGAGGUGAGAGGUACUCCAGGGGUAGGAGUGAAAUCCUGUAAUCCUUGGGGGANCACCUGUGGCGAAGGNGUCUCACCAGAACGGCUCCNACAGUGAGGGANGAAAGCUGGGGGAGCAAACCGGAUUAGAUACCCGGGUAGUCCCAGCCNUAAACGAUGUGCGUUAGGUGUAUCGAUGACCACNAGUCAUCGAGNGCC
This 788-nucleotide ribosomal RNA is filed under the name uncultured archaeon. RNAcentral's name for it is "bacterial SSU rRNA". It matches the Rfam family "Archaeal small subunit ribosomal RNA", at positions 5 to 802 of the family's 1478-position model. The record is from RNAcentral.